GGUCUUUUGUUCCUGGUGUAAGUGUUGCCACGGUGAGACUCACCCAUAAAAUUAAAUAAUCCAUGAGAGGUGAAAUGUGCAGUGGUGUUUCAUGAAGCAGCAAAACACAACUUUAAUAAUUCGGAAGAGAUUAAAAAUGAAGAGCCAAAACAGCAAUUCACGCGGCUUGUAUUAGGUAGAAUACGGUUAGUAUGAGUGGGGCCCAACAUGGGAAUCUCAGUAACAAACUCAAAACCACAGUCCUGUACCAGACCUCAAAUAAAGUAACCAGACAGGAGAUGAUAAGAAAGCAGAGAAACAAAUUCUUUAAAAAGCAAAGUAAAAAGCUCCUCUUUCUCAUAACAAACCCUUUGCAAUGAUUUUCAUUUAAUUCACCGGCUUUUUUUUAAUUUUUUUUUCCUGAUUUGAUUGUUUUGGUAACUGAAGCAGACAAAUUUAAGGUCCAAAAAUGUAUGAGGAGAUCGCAGAUUUCUUUGAUCCCAACUCCAUGACUGAAGAUGCUGCUGUAGCAUCAAUGGAGAAAACUUAACCCCAU
Molecule: long non-coding RNA, 535 nt
Filed under: Citrus x clementina
Lineage: Eukaryota; Viridiplantae; Streptophyta; Magnoliopsida; Sapindales; Rutaceae
Description: Citrus clementina (C. clementina) long non-coding RNA (CCLE_LNC000559)
Source: RNAcentral